This 28994-nucleotide long non-coding RNA is filed under the name Vitis vinifera (wine grape). RNAcentral's name for it is "long non-coding RNA (VVIN_LNC003368)". The record is from RNAcentral. Lineage: Eukaryota; Viridiplantae; Streptophyta; Magnoliopsida; Vitales; Vitaceae.
UCUCCUUUCACUCAAAAUAAGUAAGGUGUAUGAUGAAAUUUCAAACCUAUGGAGAGUAGUUAUAUUUAGCCAAAACCUCAGGGGAGGUGAAUGAAAAUUAACCCUAUUAAUGAUAUAUGUUAUCAAGAAAAGGUAGAAAUAUUGAUCAGGGACCUCAACAAUUUGCAUUACUAGGAGUUGUGUGUGAAGAGAACCUAACAAGGUUAAGUACCUGAGUGCAUCCAAAAAGUUUAAGCACCCUCAAUGAUAAGCAGCUAUCCACAAUAAAUCCCAGGUCCCCAUCUGUCAAAUUUCGACACCAAGAUAGGUCCAAACGUAUCAACUCUCUUGAGCGUCUGGCAAGUGAUAUGGCUGUAUUGUGGCCAAUCUGUAGAAAGAAAACAUGCCCCAUGAAAAAAGUACGAAGAAGAUCAUUGAGGGACAAAUAGGCCUGGCUACAACAGAAACCCUUCAACAUAAGGCCUAGAACUCAGAUGGCACCCAUGUUACAGGUUAUGUUCACUGCUAAAGAUUUAGCCCCCCAAAGAAGAAGGAACUCAAGCUAGCAUGACAUUGAGUACAUCGUAUUGGGCAGCAGCAUCACAUAAUUGCGGCUAUUGCUCAAAUCCUUUUGUGCAAAUUCAGACAGAAAAUGAUACAGACAAAUAUUGAACUCCUUGGACAAGAAUGGAGCACCCUAAUUCGCACACACACACACAGACAGAGGAGAGAGAGAAGAGAGCUGAAACUGAAUAUAGUUUAGCUAGUAAGGUACCUUGCUAACAUUAUUGAGAGAAAGCUCUUUUAAAGACCCCCCCGAGAUCUCUAGAAAUGCAGCAAUAGCUUCAUCACUGGCAAAACAAAAAUUAUUGAACAAUAAAUCCAUUGCCAAUACUGGUGCAGUGAGCAUCAAUAUUCCAGUAUAGGUUGGACAUGUUUCAACAAAGAAAGGUUAAAAAAAAAAAAGCAAAACUUUAAAUACUUGACAGAUGGUAUCAUAAAGAUGCUUGCCACAUGUAUGAUUGAGGUUGCCACUGAAAAAAUAUUGCCCUCAACAAUAACCAAAACCCACAUAAAGAGUAGCAUGUGUCAUCAGUACCCCUACCAAUAGGCAAAGCCUCCAUGCUAUAAGUUAUUUUCCAACAAGCCUUGUGACUCAUCCAAACAGUGGAAACCAUUUUUCAGUAGUUUCCAGGAAAUAUUCUCAUUUCACAAAGCAUUAGAAAAAUAUAUAGUGUUUCCUUGGCAGAGGUUACUUUCUGGUAAGCAACAAAAUCCCAAGAAUCACAAAUUCAACCAAGUAACCACCAGAUGAUCUACAUUUCAGCAAUUUAGCAAAAAAGUGUUUCAGAUAGCCAAGCCAAUGAAAAAUCUAGCACAUAUAACCAAUGCAAAACCAGCAAUAAAUUGAUUCAGUCAAUAACCCAGACCAAUUUUUUUUUUUUGAUAGGUAAUUUUCUUUUUUCCCUUUUUUCAUUUUUUGUCCCCACUGAAACCUGAACAUGGAACCUCCCACAAACCCAGCCCAACCCUUCACCACUUGAGCAAGGCCUCAAGGGCAUCAAUAACCCAAACCAUGGAUUCACCAAACCUACAUGUGAUCAAAACAAAACAAAACAAAACAAUAACUUGUAUAUUAUUCAUCAAUUCAAUGCCAAGAAGCCAUAUCUAUGAACAAACAAAGAGGAGAAUUAGGUGCUAUAAAAGGAAGGAAGCUCUCAUAAUAUGUCAGCAACAAGUAUUGCAUGGUUAACACGUGGUAAAAACCUGAAUGAAUUGCAGCGGAGUUUUAGUGUUUGCAUUGCUUGACAACCACUUGCAAGAUAACCAAAUGCAGAAUCCGUCAACUUGCACAAGUUACCCAAGUCAAGUGCACGUAAUUCAGGACAUGUCUCAGCAAUAGCUUUCAAAGAAAAAUCAGUCAAUCUCCUGCACCAAAUUAAAGCAGCAGCAGCAGGGCAUGAGCAGUUAUCCGGAACUCAAUUACAUCCAAAAGGAAUAAUACAUGUUAAGGAACUUACGAACAAUCAGUUAAAACAAGCUCCUUCAUAGUGGGGCCAUGUACACUAAUGAAUUCCCAGAUAAAAUCAUCACAAACAGUUUGAAUGCCUGCCACCGACAACACUUCCAAACAUUCUAGUUUCUCCAGAGCCGAUAGAAUAAGCAUAGCAUCUAUGCCUUGGCAAUCAUCAAUAUAUAAUUCUCUCAGAACAGAUCCCAAUGUCUCAGCUAAAUUUUUAAUAGAAGCGGAAGUUAGAAGAGAGCACUGGCUGAGAUUUAUAGAUCUUAACAUGGGGGCAGAAGAAACAAGUGCUCUUAGCCCUGCAUCUGAAAGACGGCAUGCACCUUUUAGGGAUACAGUUGUUAAUGCAGGAAGGCCAUUUGACAACAUAUCAAAGGUAGCCCUUAAAACAUAAUCUGUCAUACACCGCCCACAUUGGUCAAGUUGUAGCACCUAAUUCCACAAAACAAAAUAUAUUCAGAUUAUCCAGAAUGUUAUGACUUACUAAGAGAUAAUAAGAAGCUACAAGUCUAUAUACCAUAAUGGCCUUGGAUGAGAAGAUAAUUCUUAUUACAUCAGGAAGACAUGUUUACAGAACUAAGUUGUCACAUUGCAAAUCAGCCAAUUUCCAUUUUCCAAGAAAGAAUAUCUACACAUACAAGACAAACUACCAAGAAUUAAGGCCAUUAAGGUGUCAAGGAUGAGUUAGGGAAGCUUCCCAUAAUGCAUUGCAAAAAAGUUAAAUUAAGAUAAGUUGACUUGUAGUCUUGUUGGAAGCCACCAAAGAAUUAGCAGAAAAAAAGAGUGCUCCCAUGUAGGAGCUUGGGGGCAAAAAAUCCCUUCAAAGAGGGAUGGCUCCAAAAUAACCCUCCAUGCACUACGCUUUUGGCCAUAUUGACAACCUGGCAGAGGCAGCUCUGCCACAUCGGCCUCCUUUUCCUUUUUUCUUCUGCACUUUUUUAUUUUUUGUGAACCAAAAAAAGUGCAAUUGGGAGGUGUGUUUCUAUUUCACUAAAAACAGAGCUCCCAGCUGUGUUUUAUAUCAUUAAUUCUGUUUUCUAACUGAAAUGGUGAAAAUGCAGCUGGGAGCAAUGUGCUGAGUGGAACCUUAAAAAGGCAGCUCUUAGUUGUGUCUUUGAUGCCUUCUUUUUUUUUUUAUUUAUUAAAAUACAACUGCAAGCUGUAUUUUCAGUGCAAUAAAAAUGCAGCCUACACGAAGGGGUAAGAUAACAAAAAACAAAAAAAAAAACACACAGAUGACCUUUUUAUUCAGCAAUCCCCAUUGGAGAUAUUUAGCUCCUAAGCUCCUACUGACCUAAUGGGGAAAAAAAUUCUCAACAAACAAUAGAUAUAUUGAAUGCAGAAAAAUAAAUACUAAAGUUCACAGAAAGGUGACUCAGUCAUUUGUCUACAUUACAACUUUUACAGCAUCAAACCAGCAUGACACUAAAACCAAUAACAAAUAAGAACUUGAGUCCAUUAAAUGACACAUUCCAGUGAGGCUUGGUGUGGCAAUGAGUCAAAAUGUGAUUCUUUUUUCCUUUCAUAUCUAGGUGUUAAAAUAAGAUGGAGUUACUACCCUGUUUGAAUUCCUGUUCAACAGAAAAUAGUAACAACAUUAUAUCAGACUUCAUCUCAUAAGUAUCAGAUAUGUGCAAAAUUUAAUCUUCAUCAAUCAUAUAGACAAGAAAACAUACUGUCAAGCUGUUGGUGUCACAACGCUUAAAGAUUCUUGCAAACUCUUCCUCUGUUAGCCAUGAACAAUCCCUCACACACACCUCAAAAGGUGAUCCACUGACAAGGAGCUCAAGGAUAUGACUGUUCAUUCUCCGAGAAUCACAGAGCAACUGACUUAGUUUGUGCCUCAGUGCAUCUGGGAUACUUUCAAGAGAGGUGAUUGCAUCACCAUUCUGGGCAAGAACUUCAAGGCACAUUUCUUGCAGUGAGGGGGCCAAUGGUUUUGGGCACUCACUGCUCUUAACCUUUCUAGGACUCCAUAUCACAUGUGCAGGUCUGUUUCUGUCUGAACUGGAAUUCUGCUGUGUGUUCUGCUUCUUUUCUCUGUCCUUAAUAAUCUUCAUAGCAGUUGAAAAGGGACCAGGCCAAUCUUCAUUUUCCUUCUCCCCUCCUUCUGAUGGCCUUUGAAUUUCAGCCUCACGAGAGGGAUGGUUCUCCAUCUCCUGUUCAGGCGCAAAAUGAGCAAAUCGAGAUGCAUUUCGUCUGGCUAUAUCUCGGAACCGGGUCCUUGCUCUUGAUGCAAUCCCUGUCACGCUAGUCUGUAUAACCUCAUUCUGAACCUGUAAUCCUACAUUGCCCUCCAACUGAAUAGACUCUGAAACUGCAGUGUCAACCGAAUUCUUAACUUCAGAUUCCAAAUUAAAAUCCACAGGAUUAACUGCAUUCGGUGCUAAAUCAUCAUUAAUCAAUAUACCCUUCCCUUUUUCUUCUCUGCUGUAUCUCUGUCCACCCUCAACAGCAUCAUUUUCAUCAGCACUCAUAUUGUCAAUAACAUUCUUCAAUUCCAAGUUCAAAUCCAAUUCCACUGCAUCAAUCCUAUUCUGUGGCUCAUCAUCCUCCACCAAUUUGCCCUUCCCCUUUUCUUCUCCAGUGAAUCUCCUCCUUCCCCUAACACUUCCAUUCUCAUUAGCACUUGGGUCUUUCUGUAAUUCUUCCACAGCAGCCUCUCCAUUUCCAUGACCCUGAACCUUUACACCUUUAUCUUCUCCUCCACGUUCUUGCUCAACAACAUACUUACCACCAUCACUCUCAAUGCGAUCGACUCCACACAUUAUUUCCUUGACGAUUUUCUUCCCAGACCGCAAACCCAGAAACCCUUUAUCCUCAUCAUCCAAGGGACUGGCCUCAAAGCUUAAUUUUCUCUUUCCUUUGGACUGUUUCACAGUCACCAUAUCUUCACUCCUCUGAGUCCUCUCCACAAAACUCCCCAAAUCAGAACCCAAACUUACACUUGGCUCUUUCCUUUCUUCUUCUUUACUCCCCAACUCUGUAAUUUCCGAUCCACCCAAACCCCUCUCUGCCAUCUCGACUCCUUCCUUCACUUCCAAAACCUCAUCCUCCUCCCCAACAGAAUCAGAACCCAGAACCCGACCUUUCGCAUUCCCCGAACCAGAUUCACACCUCCCCUCAACCGAGCACACCUGAUUCACUCCGGAACCACCCUUCCUUUUAUGGCGCCCUCCGGACGCCGCGACUUCGCCGGAACCCUCACUGCGACUCAAUCUCGAAGCGAUUCGACGACUCCGCCUGAGAUUGGACGCAGAACCCGAAAGUGAACCGGAAUCGGGCAUAUGGGCACCCAUAUAUGGCUCUUGGACAGAACAAUGAGAAUUGCGAGAAGGCGAAGAAUUGGGAGUUGAGGGCUCAUUGGGCUUGGAGGAAGUGGAAUCAUCCAUGAAGCGUUUCUUUAGGGUUUCAACUGGGACUAUUUCUCGAGACCUCAAAAUCGUCAUCCACGGACCCUAUUAUGAGAAUCGGCGAUUAAAAUACAAUGGUUCCGAAGGGGGUUCGUUUCGUUACUGAGAAAUGCUUCCCUUGGAAGCCGAAUUCUGCGGCUAUUGAGUUUUUCCCGCCAAUGUCCGUUAACGCCUAAGCUGCGGUUUAAGUCGGCGACGUUCCUGAGAGUCUUUUUUCUUGUUUUGUUUUCUAUAUCACUGUAUCCAAACACCCCUCCAUUGUUUUUUAUGGUUUUUUUAAUAAUGAUUAUGAGAAUAAAUUUUAUUAUUUAAGCUUUUAAUUAUUAAAAUUUCCAAAAAUAAAGUGAUUAAAUUUUUUCAAAACGAAAUCUACGGAAUAAGUUGUUUUUUAUUUCUCCAAAAAUAAAAAAUAUUCUUAUAUAUAUAUAAAAAAAACAUAGACUUAUCUUCUAUCUUUAAAAAUUAUUUCUAAAGUUUUUAAAUUUUAUAGUUGUAAAAUCCUUUCAAUAUCUUAAUUUUUUAAAACAUUUUUAUAGCAUAAUUGUCUCUUCUAUUUUAAAUGAUGGUGUACUUCUACCAAAAAUAACAAUAAUAAUUUGUUAUGAUAAUUGACAUAUUAUUUUAAUUUAAUGGUGAUUAAUUAAGUUUAUUUGUAUUUAUUUAUUAUUAUUGUAAAAUGGUGAAAAAAAAAGGUUCUAUCUAUCUAUCAUUAUUAUUAUUAUUUAUACAAACAUCUUGAGGUCAAUUCAUAAGGUGAUAGCUAGAAUUUAUUUUGACCAAAUUCACAAAUUUCUAAAAGUUACCCAUUGAAAAAUGGGCCUAGUUUUCAAAUAAUCAAUUGGGCCUGAGUGAUGUGAUUCAAAUUCUUUAGGAUCCAAUCUAAGCCCAACCCAAAUAGUGCCAUGGGCACUGGACCACUGGUCACAUUGAGCCAAGGUGAUGUACCCUAAUCCUAAGGGCAGUCUAAGAAUAAAAGUACAAGGGCAAUAAUACAGAUACCCCACUUUACAUUAUAUCACCACCACACUAUAUUUGAUGGUUGGUCAUGGCUGAUGCCUAUACAGUAUAUAGGUGGGCAGACAGUUGCAUUUAUGUCCGUCCAAGUUGAUUUAGGCUCAGACCAUAACUCAGCACAUUAUGUGGAUGGUUAGGGUUGUGUCCCACACUGUCAAGACUUUUGUGGGUUUUUGAGUUUCUAGCCCGUUAAAUCUUUUGAAGGCUAGACACCUACCCAAAGCGCCUACAAAAUGCCCAGUUUGUAGCCUCAAAUCUUGUUGAUAUGGCUGUGGGUUAUUGAAUAGAAAAGCUACCGACACUGUGGAUUAUAAUUUUAUACCAUAAAUAUAUAAUUUAUAUAUUAUUAAAAUUUUUAAAAAUUAAAACAUAUUUCAUCAUUUUAUUAAAUUAUUAAUAUUUUUAAUUUUAUUAAAUAUAUAAAUUUUAAUUAUUAAGAUAAAUUAUAAAUAUUUAUAUUCUUAGAAGCAUAGCUUAGAGAUUCACUUUUGAUUUUGUAUACCAAAGAGCUAAGUCAAUAAUUGUGAUUUCGACAGUCCAGUUUGUAGCCUCAAAUCUUGUUGAUAUGGCUGUGGGUUAUUGAAUAGAAAAGCUACCGACACUGUGGAUUAUAAUUUUAUACCAUAAAUAUAUAAUUUAUAUAUUAUUAAAAUUUUUAAAAAUUAAAACAUAUUUCAUCAUUUUAUUAAAUUAUUAAUAUUUUUAAUUUUAUUAAAUAUAUAAAUUUUAAUUAUUAAGAUAAAUUAUAAAUAUUUAUAUUCUUAGAAGCAUAGCUUAGAGAUUCACUUUUGAUUUUGUAUACCAAAGAGCUAAGUCAAUAAUUGUGAUUUCGACAGUCCAAUCAAUCCAAUCGAGGAUCGAUCCGAAACAAUACACUUUUCAUGUAUGAAUGGAGAAGUAGAUUUUUAAAACAGAAAAAUUAAAGACGUGUUUGCUUCCCAAAACUUUGACUGAAGAAAAGGCCAGAAAGGUCACGAGCCAGCACACAUGACCCAACAGCCACCGCCUGUGGGAAUUGACAGGCUGGGAAGCUUUGGCAUACACCAAUGACACAGAAGAGGCUAUCAAUAAUCAUGCAUUCAUGCCUUUAUAAAAGUAGAAGCUUCCUUGGUGCUUACCUCAACUUGUCUACUGCAAAGCAGCUUUCAUUUUUUGUAUUCUACUCUCCUCCCAUCUCCACCGGACCACCACAUCGUACCCAUCUCAAUAAUUAUUGACAAUCCUUAAAUAAAUCACGUAAUCAACUAUUCAUCAUGUUCGACAGGGUCGCAACAUUUUUUGAAUUAGGGUAUGAAAAAUUUGAGCUAUUUUAGAAUGAUUCUCGGAGGGUUAGAGUUACUUUCUACUUGAAAAUGUUUUCUUAUAAAAAUUGAGUUGUUGUUUGAAAAUUAUCUUUGAAAACACUUCUCUGUUUUUUAAGGAUAAAAAACAUUUUUUUUUUUAAUUUAAAAACAAAUUUUUAAGAAUUUUAGAAGUCUUUUUUCUAAUCCUAUCUUUGAUAAUAAUUAAAAGCACGAAAAAUAUAUUUAAAAUUUUUGUAUUGCACAUUAAUUUUAUGUUUGACAAUUAUUUUUAAUAACACAGAGCUAUUUUUAAUAAUAAUUUUCAAUGAUUAUGGGUUUGUUUGAUAAUUGUUUUUUAGAAUAAUUUUAAAUUGUUUAUAAUAAAAAUAUAUAAGAAAAACACAUUUAAUAAUCAAAAAUUAUUUUUUGUUUUUUAUUUUUAAAAAUAUAAAACACUAUAUUUUUAAAUAACUGUUUUCAUAUAUUUUCUAUUGAUUGUUUUAAAAAUUAAUUACAUAAACAUGAAAAAUAAUUAAAAACAAAAAAUUAGACAUAAAAUUUAUUUCUAAAAUACACAUAUUAAAAAUAUUUCAGGUUUUUAAAUAGAUUUAUAGUCUAUAAAACAUCAUAAAAUAUAUUUUUUAUAUUUAAAAAAAUUAUUUAAAAAAAAUAAUUAUCAAACAACUCUUAUAUUUUCAAAUAGAUCCUAAGAAUUACCUUAGAAAAUUUUUGAACUGAUAUUUAGUAAUUACAAAUUCUAGAAUUUAUUAUAUUUUUAUAAUAUGAUAUAUUAAAAAAAUAUUAUCCAAAAUAAGUUUUUGGAUCAUACAAAACAUUUUCGAUAAAAUUGCCAUGAAAAACCAUAGAUUAAUAGUGCUUUUGAAAAAAUUACUCUUCAAGGAAAUCCUAAAUCCAAAUAAUACAUCUUAUUUUAAUAUGACAAAUAUUAAAUUGUAACUUUAAUAUUUGUUUUGUAAACUCUAAGAAUAUUCCGACAACCACCAAUUGCGCAUAAAAAAAUCGUAUAAAGUGAAUCGCAUGCACAAUGGGUCGGUGCUCAUAAUUAUUUUUCUGUUUUUUAAUUUAAAAAUAAAAUAAAAAAAUUCUCGGUUACCCACGGUGUCUUCGCCGCGUAGGAUCUAGUCAAAAAUGGGAAGUUACUGUACUGCCUCUUCUUCCUUAGAAAUUAUUUUAAAUCCACAAGGAAUUUCUUAGCACGUGGGAAUUUUUAUCGGAUGUUAAAAAGUGGGAAAAUGGGAAAAAUAGAGGGGUAGUUUUGGUAUUUGAAAAAGUCAAUGAUGGUGGCGGCAUUCAUUCAACCAUGGCUGUCACCCCUUUUGUGAAAUCAAUUUCAUAUUUAAUAAUAUUCAAUAAAAGUGAUUAAAAAAAAUGCAAAAAAUAAUAACAAGCAGUCUUAGGUUUUUUUUUUUUUUUUUUUUUUUUUUUUUUAAUAUUGUAAAAUUUUAUUUUUAUUAUAAAGAAAAUUAAUUAAAUAUUUUUUUUGGGUUUUCUUAUUUGUGAAAAAAUAUUUUGGUUUAUUAGGUUUUUGGCAUAAAUGAAAUGAAAACAAAUUCCUGAUUUUGUUUUUGUGUAGGUGUGUUUGAAAUAUUCCUGAUAGCAUUUUCCUUAACCAAACAGGGACAGAUCCUUGGGGGUUGAAGACGGUUGUGCCCUCAGCGUUAAAGAAAAACUGGGAUUUUCUUUUUGUGAGGGAAAAAGGCCAGAGAUAAAGGAGAAGGCUAAUCAUACAAAGAGGGAGAGGGAGAGAAGAGGUUGGCUGGUCGGCUGGUUGGGCAAUGGCAAUCUCAUUGAAUCGCCACAUUCCCCCAUAAAAAUCUGGGAUCACAAUCGGAUCUCAUCGUAGUACUCUCUCCUUUUCAUGGGUUUUCACCACAACGCUUCUGAUGGAGUCUCUCAGCGAGUCAAUAGCCCACGCUUCUCAGGUCCAAUGACUCGCCGAGCUCAUUCGUUUAAACGCGGCAACAGCAGCGGGAACGCUCAUAACAACGGUAGCAGCAAGGGGGGUGGUGGGUUCGAUCCCCACUACGAGAUUGAUGUGCAUCUCAACUCACCUAGAUCGGAAAUAUGUGGUAGCCCUGUUUCCGGUGAUGGGUUUGAUGUAGUUUUGGAAAGGAAGCAGACCCAUCAUGUGAACCAGAGAGUUCAUGGGGGUGUUCUGAAGAAUCAGCCCAAGAAGCAUGUUGGAUCUGCUGUUCUUGAUUUGGGGUUGAGGGAGAGGAAGAAGUUGGGGCAUUGGAUGUUCUUUGUGUUUUGUGGGGUGUGCUUGUUUUUGGGUGUUCUGAAGAUUUGUGCCACUGGGUGGUUUGGAUCUGCCAUUGAUAGGAUUGGGUCUCAUCAGGUUGGUUACAUGUUCUUCUCUAUACUUUACUUCAUUGUUUUAUCAUCACUUUUUCUAUAUCCAAAUCAAAAUGUGUUGUACUGGCAGGACAACUUGUGAGAGAAAAAGGUGAUUUCUGACUUGAAUGUUUAUUUUGGAUUCCGAAUGCUGAAUUUAUAUACGUAUCCAUGUGGAAAUUUCAGUUUAGGAGUUAAGCUUCUUUGGGCUGUUCUUUUGUAUCUUUUUUGAGUAACCAGAGAAGGCCUUUAUCAAGGUUAUCUUAAUCCACUAGAGGGAUUCUUUUUCCAUUCAGAAAGAAGAGAAAAGCGUGCCAUUUUGUGGGUACUUUUGAAAAUGAUAGGUUGUUUGGCUUUCUGUUUAUGUGUGGGAAGCAAAUUAGAACUUUGUAUUGAAAAUGGAUGGAUGCUUGCUUAGAAUUCUAUGUACUUUAAUAAAGAAUGAAUCUCUGUUGCAAUUGGGGCAAGAUGAGGGAAAGUGGCCUAAUGUAUUUUGGUCAUGUGUGACAAUGACCUAUACCUAUCAUUUUACCUGUAUGGAAUGAUGAUUCUGUUAGAGUUGAGGACAUGUAGAAAGGUCAAAAAAGCAUAGAUAGUGGUGGUGAGGAACAAAUGAUGACCAAGGAUCCAAUGGAGAAUAUUAUUCCAAUAGAGGAAGAGGAUUCAGGAAGCCAACCUCAAGUUCUAGGGACCAAGGCUUGUUGAAUUGAUCUCAAUAGUUGCUCCGCAGUGGGAAACAUGGGCAGCAUGGGCUCCUAGGGUCUUUGGCAGUAUUCAUAUGGUGAUGUGCUGGAAUACGAGUGUGAAUUUGCUUUACACUAUAAGCUUUUAGAAGUUGGAAAUUGCAUUUAGUGUUCCUCUUCAGCUAAUAAGCUUAAAGAUGGUUCAAGUGUGGACUUGAUCAAAUAAAUAGAGAUUAAAAAAAAAAAAUCUGUCCUAAAAGUCUAGAAAUAGGCAGUUGUUUGCUCAAUGUUAGAUCUGUUUUCAGUGGACUAGGAAAGUUUAGUUACUUGUGGUUUGGGAAAGUGAAUAUCUCCUGCUGGAGAUGAGCAACUGGCAUGUUUGAGACCACGUACAAAUAUAUAUAUAUAUAUAUUUUGAAAUUUGGGUGAAUGUUUUAUAGUUAACAUCUAACCUUAUGAUGCAUAUUGAUCUAUAACUUAAGGUGCUCUUUGCAGUUGUUGUCCAUCAGCAGUUCUUGACAAUUAAAUCUUUUAUCUGUGUGCAUGUGUUUCCUUAUGUGUUAUUCUUCUCACCUUUAUCUUCUGUCUUACUAAGCUAUUCUGCAUUUCUAAUUAGGAUUUUUCUGACCCCCUCAACACUCAUCUAAAUGAAAUGGAUAAAAGCUCUCAUGAUUACGUAUAUAGGGAGGGAGGAAGUGAUGUUGAAAGAACUCUGAUGAUGGUAGCAUCAGGUGUGGUGAAUAGGCAGAAAAGCAUGGCUGAAGUAAGUAUCGGAUUCAUAUUGCAAAAACACAUUGACUAAUUUUGGGUCUCAUAAUGAUAUGUUUUUAAUUUGUCACUCAUGAAAUUUACUUCUUCAGAAUUCAGAUAUCUGGUCCAAACCCAACAGUGAGAAUUUCACCCAAUGCGUUAACCAGCCAAGAAUUCACAAAAGUAAGAAACCCAUUCAACCAAACAAUCUCUCUCUCUCUCUCUCUCUCUAACUGUAGACCAACCCUUUUCUUUUGCUUCUGUUGACAGAGCUGGAUGCGAAGACAAAUGGUUACAUUAUCAUUAAUGCUAAUGGUGGAUUGAAUCAGAUGAGAUUUGGGGUCUGUCUAUUGUGUGUUUUGAUAAUUUUACUUGGAUAUUGUUUAAGUAUUAAUACCAACUAUAGUCUGAUUAAUGAAUAAUUUUAGAGUGCAGAUAUGUGAUAUGGUUGCCAUUGCAAAGGUCAUGAAGGCAACACUGGUUCUUCCUUCACUUGAUCACACAUCCUAUUGGGCUGAUGACAGGUUUUUUUCUGCACUCUUGGAAUUGGCUUACCAAUAUUGUCUAAGAAAAUUACUUCUUUUGUUCCCAGACAUGAGACAACAAUAGGCCAUUAUGAUGAGUGGUAGAUCUGAUGUUUAGUUGAGAAUUAUAUAAUUUAUGGUAGAGAUAGACUCUCAGAGGAUUCACUUGGUGAAGGAAAAAUAUACAACCGACAAGCUUUCCAAAAGCAUAAGCUGACUUUCCAGGAAACCAAAUUCACUAAUCUGCUUCCAAAUUUAUUUUAUUUUUUAAAUCAUAAAUACCAUGUUGGAUCUCCAAUCACAUUUUCUUUGGGACAAAAUUUUAGUUCUUCUAAAUGUGAUGUACUGGAUAACAUCCCUACUGAUGCUGGUAAUAACACCAUUCCCCAGAGGAAUCCUUUUGGACUUUGUAUACCAUACUCAUUCCUUCAACAGAAGAUGCCUUCCCUUUCGCAAUGAUUUAGUCCGAAUGAAUUGAUUCCUUUUUGCAUUUUUUUUUUAUUAUUUUUUUUCCAGUGACUUUAAGGAUCUGUUUGAUUGGCAACACUUCAUAAAGGCACUGAAAGAUGAUGUCCACAUAGUUGAGACAUUACCACCUGAUUAUGCUGGAAUUGAACCUUUCACAAAGACACCAAUAUCAUGGUCUAAGGUAAUGACCAACUCAUCAAUCUUUCAAAAUAUGAUGAUAUUUUGAUUCUCCUUUGUGUACAGUUAUUUUUAUGGAUACGAGCAACUUAACCAAUUUGUAAAGGGCUGAAUCUAAAUUCUCAUCCGCGAAGAUUCCACUCAUUCAGCAGUUUAUUUUUAAUUAGGAUGUUUGAUUUAUUGAAACUUUGGAUACACGUUCAUGUACAUUCUGUGUAUGAGUGGCUGCAUUUCAUUGUAAUUCCAACACCGUAUGCUAUAUCUCUCAUCUCAUUGUUAUUUUUUCUAAGAUUCAAACCCAUUGAUUGAUUUCUAUUCUUUUGCUCAGGUCAGUUACUACAAAACAGAGAUCCUCCCACUCUUGAAGCAGUACAAGGUUAUAUAUUUUACUCAUACUGAUUCCAGACUUGCCAACAAUGGUAUUCCAAGUUCCAUACAGAAACUGAGAUGUCGUGUAAAUUACAAAGCCUUGAAAUAUUCAUCCCUAAUAGAAGAACUUGGAAACACCUUGGUUUCAAGAAUGCGAGAGGGUGGAAACCCUUAUAUUGCUCUGCAUUUGAGGCAAGUGACAUACGUCUUACACAACUUUACUCAUGUAGUUUUAUCGAUUUGAUCCUUUUAUCUUAGCUAAAAAUUGUUGAUUCAAGAGUUCUUUUAAUCAAAGUUAGCGAUUAAUUCAUGACAGGCUGAUAAACAUGACUGCCUUAUAUUUUCUGCAGAUGACAUUUUAAAUCGAUGUCUGCUCAUUGAAAAACCAAUGGCGGUUGAUGUGGACUCACUUGCAGCCCUGACGACUUUCAAAAAAACCAAUAUUGAUAUUGCGAAAGUUUAAUUAAACAUGAAAUAGCUUUUUGCAUAAGCUAAAAUAGAGUUUCUAUAAUAAGUAAUAUUUUCCUAGCUUCCUUGCUAAGUUUUUUCUAAACCCAUACUCUUUUAAUAAAUUAGCCUAAUAGAUGUAAAAACUUUUAUUGAGUGUAAAAAGAAGCUUUUUUUUACUCCUCAAAACCAAUCCAGGCAAGGCCUUUCAUAAUCCAUUUCCCCAGCUAAAUGGAGUAUUUAUAUUUGAAAUUAAUGUGCUAUAUUUGAAUUUGUGUCAUCCUCUCAGUGUGCUGUUUCAGAUAUAUGAAAAAGGGAUAUUGUGGAUCAUUUUUCCCACCAUGAGCUUUAGAAUUUUAAAGACUGCCCAAUUUUUAACUUCCAUGAUUUCUGAAGAAAUGGUGCUCUUUCAAAAUUGGUGCUUAGCUCCAUUACCUAUGAUUGUUGCUCUUUAUUCAUAACGUAUUCAAUAUAAUCCAAUCUCUACGCCUAUCAAUUGUACAAGCCCUUCACUUUAGAAUGUGUAAAUAUGUACUGACCUCAUUAUUUUUACUCUCUCAAUAGGUAUGAGAAGGAUAUGCUUUCAUUCACAGGCUGCAGUCAUAAUUUGACAGCAGCAGAAGAUGAGGAACUACGUACAAUGCGAUAUGAGGUCAGUCAUUGGAAAGAGAAAGAGAUCAAUGGUACCGAGAGAAGGUUGCUUGGUGGCUGUCCCUUGACCCCCAGGGAGACUUCCCUUUUGCUCAAAGGGCUGGGUUUCCCAUCUAGCACCAGGAUUUAUUUGGUAGCUGGUGAGGCCUAUGGUAAAGGAAGUAUGCAAUAUCUAAUGAAUGACUUCCCCAACAUCUUCUCCCAUUCAACACUUUCCACUGAAGAAGAGUUGAGCCCUUUCAAGGAUCAUCAGAACAGACUGGCUGGACUGGACUAUGUUGUUGCCCUUCAAAGCGACGUGUUUGUCUAUACCUAUGAUGGAAAUAUGGCAAAGGCUGUUCAAGGUCACAGGCGAUUUGAGAACUUCAAGAAGACUAUUAGCCCUGAAAAGUACUAAUAUCUUAACCCAUCUCUUCUAAACUACAUUAAACAUGCCCAGUUCAAUGGUUAUGGUUUUUUCACUCUAUCCAUUUGCAGUGCAUGAUCAUUCUUAUUUUGUUAAUGCAGGAUGAAUUUUGUAAAACUUGUUGAUGACCUUGAUGAAGGAAAAAUCACUUGGAAGAAAUUCAGUUCCAAAGUGAAGAAGCUUCACAAAGACCGAGCUGGAGCACCAUACCUACGAGAGCCUGGAGAGUUUCCAAAGCUGGAGGAAAGUUUCUAUGCGAACCCACUUCCAGGAUGUAUAUGCGAAACAACACCGCAAAAGUAGAGACCAACCCUAGAAAGUUUUGUGCUACUUCAUCCCAAUGUGAGGGUUUAGCUGCAUGGAUGGUAGUUCCUAGGGUUUGUUGCCAUCUCUCAGGGCACAUUCUUGUUGAGUGGCAAUCUUGAGGUGCAGUGAGGCAGGAGAACAUCAGGUUGUUGGUUUCAAAGUCCCCAAGAGGAGUGAAACUGAUACAAUGGAGUUGCCAAAAAUGCAGCUUAACUUAAGGGUUGAUGGAAGAUAGAUGGGGUUUGAUCUGCUAUAUAGAAAGGAUACAACAGAAGUUAAAGAAACAUACCACUGAGUUUCUUCACUAUGAAAAACAGGAAAAAGAUACUGAGUUUUCUCCCUACUUAACUACACUGUAAAGAGCCAGCAAUGUAGAAUAUGAUGGGGAAGGUUCAUGUUUUGCAAUUAGGCAGAGUUGAGCUACUAGCUGAUUUGAAUUUCUUCUGAUAAUAUAGAGGAGUAUGAUUCCAAAGAAUAACAAGCUGCUUGAAAUUGCUUUAAUCAUGAAUAGAUGUCAUCGGGACAUGGUUAAUCUGUUUCCAUUUUCUAGAAAGUUGAAUUUGAAAAAGACAAAAUGUGAAAUUAAUUCCACAAAUGUGGUAUUUUCAAAACAUUUGAGAAUAGUAAAAUAAAAAAUAUCUUUUAUGAAGUUGAAAAUAACCAAGUGAAUAACAUUUAGUAUGAUAUCCCACAUGAUAAGGGAAAAAGUUUGUGGAUGUGGAUGUAUAUAUGUUCAAGUUUUUUUUUAACUAUAUAGAUAUGUUUUAACUUUUAAAGUCUUGAGGUCCUGAGGUUUUAAGUAGAUAAUAAUCACACAGUUGAAAGUUAGUUAUUACAAAUGGUAUCAAUCUUUCAUCUAUGGUGAGUAAUAACUACAUGGUUGAGAAUCGAUUAUUAUAAAUGGAAUGUGGAAGUUUGUUUGGCCAUGCAAUUUUAUAGGACAUGAUGAGUGUGGGGAGUGGGGUGAUUGUAAUAUUCAUUAUCAUAUCUAUAUGGGAAGUAAUUGUGAUAUUCCACAUCGAAUAAGGGAAAAAGUUUUUGAAGUUAUAGAUAUGUGAACUUCUCUUUAGAUUUUAAAAUAGUGAUACUUCUCUAUGUAAAUUUUAAAAUAGUGAGGAUCUUUGAGGGCAAAGUGAAUAAUAUUUUCAUAUUUGGGAACGAAUCGUGAUAUCUAGUAUUUUAAAAAACUAUUAAGGUUCAUCUCAAAGGGAAUUAUAACCUGGUAAUCAAAACUUAAGCAUCACCUUGUUAAGGCUUAUAACCUUAAAUCUACGGCUUGAGUUUUGGGUCAUUCAAGUCUCAUAUAUUUAAACAAAUUUAAUAGGUUUUGUACUUUUAUGGAGUUUUGAUGUAGAUUUUAUAAGUUUUGUCUUGCGUUUAAAAGCAAAAUUAAUCUUUAUAAAAUAAGAGAUGAUAACUCAAAAUAAACCUUAAAAUGAAGGGGGAAAAGGGAUUUGAGAAAAAUAAAUACAUUUAUUUUUUUAUUUUUAAAUAUAAAAAAUAGUGAUAACUUAUAUACAAAAAGUAAAACCACUUACACAAAAAAAUAUAAACUUACUUUAUGUUCCUAAAAAAUACUUUCAAAAGCUUUAAAAUUUGAGACAGUAAACUUUUAAAAAUUCUUGCUUUUCAUAUACACAUUACUAUCAUUUUUUGUUUCUAAAAAACAAAAACAAAAAUUAGAAAUUUAUCUUUACAUAUAGUAAGUUUUCUUUGUAGUUAAAUUGGUGAAUAAUCUCUAUUUUAUUAAUAUAAAUAAAAGAAAAAUACCAUUAUGAAUGAAAAAGAAAACUGAGUGGAAAUUAAUAAUAGAACAAUUAAAUAUGAUUAUAUGAUUAAUUGGAUACUAUAUUGAUUCAUUGAAGGAUGUUACUAAGGAUUUGAAUGCUAUGUUGAAAAUUAUUUAAAGAAAGUAAAUUAAAAAUUAUUUAAAAUAAUAAAUAAUUAAUUUUAUGAUUUUUUUUUUCUAUUAGCAUUUUCCUGAUAUUUUAGUAAUUUUCCUUUCCGUUUAUUUAUUUAUUUGUUUUGUCGAAAUUAAGGAUUAUGUCUCCUUGUAUUCGAAUAAAACUCCUCAAAAGUGGAAACAACCUUCAAUCUUAGAGUAAGAACAUUGACAACAUCAAAUCACAAUUCAAGGAGUCUUUAUUUUUACAACUAUUUUUAAAAAAUAAAUAAAAAAUAUUCCAAAUCAAUCACAUCCUAAAUGCUUCAAUACUUUUCUAUCCAACUGUUUAAAAGGAAAUUCGGAUUUUCUUCUCUUACAGUCCUUACUCUCCCUUGUUUGGUUAUCAAAAGAAUAUGUGAAAAAAUUGAUCGCCCAGAAACAAAACAGUUUUCAAAUAUAAGUCAUAUUUUCAUAGGAUUUCUUAAAAUUAAUUCUCAAUUAUUUUUUAGAAUAAGAUUUUGUAAAUGAACCAUCUAUUUAUAUAUAAUAUAAAAGUUUUUAAUUUUUUUUCAAUUAUUUCUCAAAAAAUUAAUAAAAAAUAUAAAAAAACACUUUAAAUUUAUUCUAAAAAAUAUUGUCUUAUACUUGUUCUUAAAAACUAUUUUAAAGUAAGGAUAUUUGAUAAGUUUUUUUAAAAAAUAAUUUUUUCAUUUUGAACUUUUAAAAACAAUUUAUAUAAAAUUAAUCACAUUUAAUUCAAGUUUUAUAAAAAAUGAAAAUAGUUUUAUAAUUAUAAACAAAUUAAAAAAUAAGUAGUUUUUAGCAAAAUAUGAAUAAUAAUAUUGAAAUAAAAUUCAUAAAAAUACUUACAAUUUAUGGGAAGAUUGUAUUUGAAUAUUUUUGUUGUCAAUAUUGAAUCAUAGAUAAAAAAAAAGUUAUAUGUUUAAUUUUAUUUAUAUUUUAUGGCUUAUUAAAAUUUCUCUGAGUUUUCUUUUUAUUUUUAAAAAUUAAAGAAAAUAACUUCUACUUUGGUUUUAAUUUCAAGUUAAAAAACAUGUUUUACUUUCAAGGAUAAAAAAAAGUAAAAAAUACUUUAUCCUUCUUUCAAAACAUAACACUUUGUACCUAAAUUUGUUGAAAGAACACCAUAUUAUAGAAUUGACACCUUUGAAAUAAAAAAUUUCAAACAAUUUUUAAAUAUGACAAUAAGUAGGUUAUCAAAUAGGAAUGUGAAUAGUAGUUAUGGAAAUAUGGAGUAAUGUGGUAGCAAAGAAUCAUGAGACCAAAUUAAUAUUGGGGGACAAAUUCGUCUUUGUUUAUGACAGUAAAGCAAUAGAGGUUCAAAUAACAAAAAAAUUGUAUGAACAAACAGAUGCUCACAAAAAUGCGUCCAAAACAUACAAUUGGCAUGGCACUAUAGCUGUAGAAUAGACUCGAUGAGGUCAUAGAGAGGUGCAAGCUCCCCCUUGUCAAUCAGGCGAAAUUCCUGCAAUUACAUCACACCCAAUUACACACACAGCAAUGCCUUGCUUGCAAAUCAAAGGGAGACAAACAAAAAAUGAUGGAAGAAAAUGCAAAUUCAAAUGAAGAUUUACUAACAAGGGCAUACAAAAGUCACAACCAAAACGACUUGUUUAAGGAUUGGUUGGAAGGGAUUGAAGAAUGGGUUACAGAUAUAUUUCAAAGCCGGCAGUAGUUAAGAUUUUGUCUGAUAAGAGGAAAAAAAUGAUGUCUCUUAUGUAAGAACUUGAAGAGUAAAUGGAUAUUAGGAACCCACCCAAGUAAACAGAACGAAAUGCUUAAAGCAGGUAUUGAGAUGAGCUUCUUCCUUUAAACUGACAAUCUUCUGAAAAUGCGAGUGAUAUAUGUGGGCAUAUACGCGAAACAAGCGCUUGAAAAUUGUCUUAACAACAUCCUGGAAAUUAUUUGGAAAUGGUGCCCCUGCAACACAAAAUAAUCAUUUAAAAAGCCUAUAUGCUUUGAUUUAAACCUGCUUCAGAAAGGAAUUUUACAUACCCAAUUUUUGAGGAAAUAUUGAUUCGUCGUCUAGCUGAGUUUCAAUCCAGUCCAUCAGAUAUUCGACAUACUUUGGAGCAGACACCUCAAUGGGUUUCUUAAUUGUGACUCCAUCAGCCCAUCUAUACUCGUAUCUGUGGUUGAGUAAUUUAAUCCAACUCAGGACUUACAACAUGAACACAUUAAAAGUAAUCACAAAUGAUUUUAGGUUUUCAAGAAUAAUUUUUCCACUUAUUCUUAGAAGGGCAGAAAAAUAAGCAUCCAAGCUCAUAGAAGUGAAGGAACAGAUGAUCCAACAAGAAAUGGAAUGGACCAAUAAGAAUUUUGUUUUUCAAAAGGAAAACAAAAUAAAAGUUGAAGAAAAAGAUAUUAAAGAUACUAGUCUGAAAAUGACAGAAAAUUUCUUAUUCAAAGCUCAAUUUUCUGCUUCCUAAAAAUUCACUUGACUAACCAACUUCUCUAAAAGAUGAUUUCCAUUUCAAGAUAGAAACUACUUCAUUCCUUGGCACUGUUUUUAUGAUCUGUAAUCCACAUAGAUCCAAACAUCUGUUUUUCCACCCAGUGAAUUCAGUUUGAUCUUCACCAACAGACACCUGCAUAUGUUAUAAGUUAGUACUCCUCACAUUAGAAUAUCCUUGUUCUACAUGUUCCUGCCCGUUUAGUUCUAUUUAUUGAUUCUUUCAGGCUCUACUGAACAAGGACAGCACACACCUAGUAAAAAUAUUUCGCAUAAAGGUUAAAUAUAAAGACCAAGCAUAAGGAUUAAGAAAGGUUAAAUAAUCCAAAUGAGAAUUAGUAUAAGGAUUAAGAAAGAUACUUUGGCCCUGCUGACAUUGUCGGGCAGAUGGAUGCUGUACAGAAUUCAGUAAGUGUACCAUACAGAAUGUUUACUUGGUUGAAGAAGUCCACCGCUGCAGCGAGAGAACAAAGCAAAACAAGUAAGAGGCACUGUUGCAAGAAUCCAUUUCGUAUUGGAUAUUAAAAUUUCUGGCAAGGAUUUCAACAUUCAACAAACUCGCCUUCCCCUCCCCACCUCCUCAUCUCUCACAGACACAAAUUUAUAGAAUUCGUCAAUAGGAUUCUCAACCAAAUUGUAGGAAGUAAAACAUUAUUGCAUCCUUCAGGUUCGUAGGUGAUAUUGUACUAAACUUUUCAUAAUCCUGGUCUUAAGAUUUGAUGUAAGGCAGUGCCAAGCUAGCAUGAUAGAUGACAGGAAUGCAAGUCAUUCUCCGUGGACAAUAAUAAGCAGGUAAACUUUAGAGCCUGCUAUGUGUCAUUCAUGUCUCAGCACAACAUCCUCUAUAAGUGAUUUCAUUUCAAGAUCAUGGGGAACAAAAAGUUCAAUGAAAUUUAUGAGGCCAAAGACUCUAAAUAGUGUCAAAUUAUCCAAAGUAAAUAUAAGAAGCUGGAAGAAAAUAAUAUUCUCAAUUAUAGUGCCAUCAUGAAUCUUAUGCUUUUCAAAAAACUGCAUCAAACAAGAAACUAGUACAGGCUUAUAUUAGCCGAUAGGCAUGGUCAUCAGCAAACUGAAAAAGAAAAGAAAUAAAUUUACAGUUGGCAAACAAGAAACAAACCAUAAUGGACUGAAUUACAAUGAUAAUACCCAAUAUGGGUUUAAUAGAUUAUAGUAGUUAGCAAAAUAUUAAAAGAAGAAUGAGAGAUAUCAAAUCAAUUCAUAACAAAUCUCACCAAUCCACAAGGCAAUAAAUAUAAAAUAUUCAGAUAUCAAAUACACCUAAAUAUCAAUCAACACCAAUGAUAUGGUGUAUGCUAGCACACCACAUCAUAGUGCAACUAUCCUAAAUUUCCUCACAAUUUGAUACUCCCUCUCAUAUGUUAUCGCCAUGAAUUUGCAACUGAACAAGAUUUAAAAUUCUUACUGUUUACAGCCAGCCACUCAUUAGGAUCUUCUCCUGGGGGAAGCCGUACUGCUUCCCUCAAGUUUCCACUACCCAAGGUGGCAUCAAUGUGUUUUUGAAGUUGUGCACCCUGCAUUUGGAUUAAAAAUAUUAGAGUAUCAACCAAAAAAGGGGACAUUAACAAAAUAAAAAUUAUAAAUAAACCAUACAACCACAAAGGACACCCACCUUGCUCCCUGAAGGAGCACUCUUUUUGGGCCGAAAUGUUUUCUGGUUUCUGCAUGAGUCAAAGCUCGAUUAAAAUUAGUAAUUUCAAAAACAACGAGAAACAAGUUCUUUAGAUUAAAAUCAUGAGGUGGUGUUAUACAUUAUCUAUAAUAUAUUUUAUAAAAUCAACAGUAAGCUGUGGCUAUUUUAGACCUAUGAAGACAAUGAUACCCAACCAUCAACUUCGUAAGAUUUAUUCUACAAUCACAUAAAAGGGGAAAUGCCACCUUUUGAUCUAAUUGUUAAAGAGAAUUCACUAAUGUCACACAAACAGACAGUAUAAUAAAGAGAAAUAUUUUAUUAUCUAUAUUCAUGCUAAAAGGAUAAACUAAUAAAUUGACAUCAGCAAUUAGACCUGAAGAUUCUAGCAAAACUUUAGCUUCACAAUCAGGCAGAAUAGAUGGAAAAAGGUGAAGCUCAAACAGAAUCCUCUUGAAGAACAUAUGUUCUAUGCAUAGCACACCAAUAUGAAUGAGGAAACCAGAAGCUAAAAACUACAAUUAGACCUCCAUGAGCCACAAGAAAAACCUCAAAUUUUUGGGAAUGAAUAAAUAAAUAAAUCUUCCCCACAGAGAAGAAGAAAACAAUUAUCAGAAAAAGUCAAGCAAAGAGAGGAAAGAAAAAGUCAUCCCAUGCCAAUAUGCACAAAAGUUUCUAAAGCACAUACACACCCCGCAAAGCAGGGCCAAAAAUGAAGAAAAUCUGUUUCUUCCAUAAACACACAAAAUCAAUAUUUAACUUGCAAAAUAUCCUAAUCCUCCUAUUAAAAACCAAUACCAAAUCUCUCAAUUUAACCCUAUGUUUCCACAAAACAACAUAUUCUUCCUCCUUCCUUAAUCAAUCAUUGUCAUCACCAACAAAAAAAUUGCUUCCAUUUCACAACAUAUUCCUCCAGAAUCCAAAAAAACACCUCUCGAAUCUCACACACAUAACACAAUGAGCAAAAAAACAUUAAAAAAACACGCAAAUCAUCAUGAAGAUUGAGAGAAAAAUAUGAAUCGCACAGCAUAACAACAACAAGAAUCAUAAAUUCUGACGCGAAAUUGACAAAAAAAAAAAUAUAAAAGAGACACGUAGAACAAUAAUAAAAAAAAAUCAUAAAAUAAAACAAAAACACGCGACAAUUACAAGAACAAAAAUAUAUUCUCUCGCCAAAAAAUUUAAAAAAAAAAAUGAUUAAAAAAACAGUGAAAAAAAAAAAUGAAAAUCACCAGAUCAAAAAACUGGAAGAAAAAUGGAUAUUGAAGCAAAAUUGAGAGAAGAUUAGAAGAUAAUCAGCGAUAAGGGAGGAGAAUACCUGCUGCCGAGGCCGAAGAGACUCAUGAUCUGGAAAACCUAGCUUGGUGUUGUUGGCGAAGAGGAGGAGAGCGAAAGGACAAUGAGAGGGGAGGGAGUAUUUAUAGAGGGAAGGAGGAGAGAGAAGGGAAAAUGACAGAGUGGCAAAAUGGUGUAUGUGUUGGAGGAGAGAGAGAGAAUGCCAAAGUCGUCGUCGUCUUCUUCCGCCAGCCAAGCUGGCUUUGUUCCCUCUCUCCCCCUGAUUCUUUCUUUCCCUCUUUUUCUUUAUUUGGAUUAUUUGUUCAUUUAUUAUUGCCUUUCCCUCCCGUGUAUCUCGCUCGCUCCCACGCUUUGGUGUUCCCGAUACGUGGCUAUCGUAAAGACACACUGAUCAAAAUCAAUUUCCAUUAAAUCUUAAAAUCUCCACCAUUCAAAUAACAUGAAAAAAUCUUGAUCGUUCAACGAAAGUAUAAAUAUACGGGACGGUGAUAGAAUUAAAUUAGACCAGAUAAAAAACAAUACGACCACAUAAGAUACAAAGUAAUACGAUCUGAAUUAUAUCAUAACAAUUUUUUUUGUUCGUUAUAUAUAUAUAUAUAUAUAUAAUGGAUUCUUUGAAAGAUGGGCUGCGACACGAGCCCAAAAUGGAUCGAGGGAGUUCCGGUUGGGGGCAAACAGAAUUUUGAACUUUGCCGCCAUCUGAAACCACGGAUAACAGAAAUCAAAUGUCUCUCCCUCUCUUUCCAUCGCGCGCUCUCUCUCUCUCUCUAAUCUCCAUUGAUGUUGAAGCCAAGCAUUUUCAAACCCUUGAAACCAGACUUUCACAGCAUCUCCUUCACUGCAAUCUUCCACAAAUGCAAAUCCAUGAAACAGUUCAAAGAAGCUCACACCCAACUCAUCAUCAAUGGCUUAACGCACCCACCGCCCUCUCUCCGGCCCAUCAUCUCCUUCUCAGCUCUCGACCCCUCCGGCGACAUCGACUACGCCCUCCUCCUCCUUCUACGAACCUCCACACCUCCCACCGUUUUCCUCUUCAACACUACAAUUCGUGGCUUCUCACGCGCCCGCAGGCCUGGAUCUUUGUUGAGCUCGGUGCUCUUGUUUGUUCGGAUGGGUGUGCUCAGUCUUGCUCCUAAUAACUUCACUUUUACCUUUUUGUUCCAGGGUUGCUCGAAUUGUGUAGCUUUUGACUUGGGUCGGCAGUUUCAUGGUAUGGUGAUUAAGAACUCCUUUGAAAUGGAUGUGUUUGUUCGCAAUUCGAUUAUUCGGUUUUACUCAGUCUGUGGGAGGCUGAAUGAUGCGAGGUGGGUGUUUGAUGAAAGUUCUGAACUAGAUGUUGUUUCGUGGAAUUCGAUGAUAGAUGGGUGUAUUAGAAAUGGGAAUAUUUUGGAGGCUCUUAGCUUGUUUAGCAAAAUGACUGAGAGAAAUGAUAUUUCUUGGAAUAGUCUGCUUGGUGGGUUGGUGAAGUUUAGUUGUAUGGAUGAUGCGUAUCGGUUUUUUGUGGAAAUGCCGCGGAGGAAUAUGGUAUCUUGGGUAGUGAUGAUUUCUGGGUAUGCUCAAAAUGGGCAGCCAAAGGAAGCUUUGGCAUUGUUUAGGGAGAUGCAAAUGUUGGAUCAGGAGCCAAACUCUGCGAUUCUGGUGAGUGUUCUUUCUGCAUGCUCUCAGUUAGGGGCUUUGGAUCAUGGGUGUUGGGUUCACUGUUACAUUGGAAAGAAAUGUGUAAGGGUUGAUUCUAUACUUUCUGCUGCCUUGAUUGACAUGUAUGCAAAAUGUGGCAGUAUUGAUCUGGCAAUGCAGGCCUUUAGUACAUCUAGGAAAAGGGAUGUUUCUGCUUAUACAGCAGCAAUUUCUGGUUUGGCAAUGAAUGGAUGCAGUGAGGAAGCGCUUCAGCUUUUUGAGCAAAUGAAAGGUGAGGGCAUCUCACCGGAUGGUGUCUCUUACAUUGCAGUUUUGUGUGCUUGUAGUCAUGCUGGCUGGGUUGAGAAGGGUUUUCACUACUUUGCUUCAAUGUCAGAUGUUCAUGGAAUUAGACCAGAGUUAGAUCACUAUGCUUGCAUGGUGGAUCUUCUUGGCCGGGCAGGUUUGUUGGAGGAGGCAGAAAAGUUUGUUGCUUCAAUGCCAAUUAAACCAGAUAAUGUCAUUUGGGGAGCCCUCCUUGGUGCAUGCAGGGUUUAUGGCAAUGCUGAAAUGGGUCAAAGGGUUGGAAGUCUACUGGUGGAAUCUGAUCAAAACCAUGAUGGCCGCUAUAUUCUACUUUCAAAUAUCUAUGCGGAGUCCAUGAAAGGUGAAGAUGCUGAACAGGUCAGGAAAACUAUGAGAAGAAGAAAAGUAGAUCGGGUUCCAGGGUGUAGCUUGAUUGAAGUAGCUGGUUUUGUUCAUGAAUUUUUUUCAGGGGACAGAUCCCAUGAGAAAACAGAAGAGAUCUACUUGAUGUGGGAAGAAAUUGUCAAAGAGAUUAAAAAAUUUGGAUAUAGGGAAGAGACAAGAGCAGUUGUGUUUGAUGUGGAAGAGGAAGAGAAGGAGGCUGUAAUUGGACACCAUAGUGAAAAACUGGCUGUAGCAUUUGGAUUUCUUUACACAAAGUCUGGAUCAACUUUGCGGAUUGUAAAGAAUAUUCGGAUAUGUAGUGACUGCCACUAUGCUAUUAAGCUUGUUUCAAAGGUUUUUAAAAGGAAGAUUGCCAUCAGAGAUCGGAAAUGUUUUCAUCACUUUGAAGAAGGCUUGUGUUCUUGCAAGGACUACUGGUAACCAAUCUAUGGAUUUCUGAAAUUCCUUUUAAAGAAAGUAAUAGGUUCAGCAUCAGGUUUUGGAGAGGAAAAUGAUCUUUAAAGAGGCAAUUGGGAAAUAGAGAUGAGUUACAAGAGGGACACUUUGCUCAUUCAACCAACAAAGCCUUAAUUCAAUUACUUGAGGCUUUCUACAUGAUCCCUUUCCAUUUAAUCUAUCCAGAGUUAUAUUGGAUUCUUAAUCAUAGGUCAUCACAUUGUCUCCUGCAGCUUGGAUUGUGCUCUCUGGGCUUCCUUUUUGUGUUGUAAGGCCUUGAGCCUGAACUAGCCAUUGUAUGCUCCCAAAUGAGUGGGCUUAAGAGGUUCUAUGGGAUUGGCAGGGGCAGGGGUCUCAUGCAGGGAAAGACUUAUUGUCUCCUUAAUUUUUUUUUAUCUUGCCAUCAAGUGCUUAUGAAGAAGACUACAAUUGGCUACUACUGAUGAGUGAUUAUAGGAUUCAGUGUUGUCCAAAAUGCAUAAAAACUUGUCCAGCUUGUUUAUGCUUUGCAGAUGAUCUUCUGCUGUUUUCCAUGAAAGAAGGUCUGCAGCAAUGCCCAAAGAGUUCCUUGAUGCUUUCCAUUUUAACAUCAGGACUCUGUGCCAAUGGAAGGAAAGCUCAGUCUUCUUUUGUGGACAAUGAAGAAUAAGGAGGAACCUAUUCUUAGUGUCUCGGGUUUCUCAAAAGUUUACUUCUUUCCUGAUGAGAUUCUUAGAAAUCUCUUUUAUGUCUACAAGGCUCUUAGAAACGGAUUUUCAACAUUCUAAUGAACAGAAGAUGAUGCUGAAUAUAUAAUUUUCUAUUCUUAUUGCAAAAGUUAAUAAGGUCUUCCCUACUUGACAUAUGUACCAACUUUAGGCAAGGUCUGCAAUGGUCUCAGAUGCAGUUGAUCAUUGUAUUGGAAGGUUCACUUUUUUUAGCUGCUAUUAUGUAUGAAUUGGGGAUAGAGGAACUACCCCUGAGCAAGUUAUCAUCCAGAGAAUUGUUAAGGAUGUGGUGUAAAAGUUUUCCCAGAAGAUCUGAUAGUGAGGAAAUGGCAUAUCAAUGGUAAAUUUUGUAUGAAAGUAGACCUCUUCUUUCAGUGUAUGAAUACUUGAUGAUGAUGGUUCUCUAAUAGGGGGCAAGAGUGGUUCUCAGGGUGUUUCCACAACCUCGAGAGAAACAUCAGUCUAUUCUUCUGCUCUGGCAGUGAUCCUGUAUCUGUCACCUAUCAUGAGCUAGAGGCUGGUAGGGUGGUUGCCAUGUGCUGAGGACAAGAAAUCCAAGUAAGGUUGUUGUCUCUACAGUUUCUAGUGGCAGCAAGGCUAUUUUUGACAAUCCUUCUGAAUCUCCUUGGGGUGGGGAAGCAACUUGUAAGAGCAUUAUGCCAUUUUUGGUGUUGGUUAGAGCUUUUCAGUUUUAUUCUUUGGCAAUUUUAUAAUACAAAUGUGGUUGCAAGUUUCUUUUCUGGUCAUUGCACUGGAAAAGCCCAGUUCAAAAAGCUUGCCAAGUUGCAUUUUCUUCAACAAGGACUAGAUAGGUCGGUGGCAUCAUAAAUGCUUAUAACACUGGUCUUGAUUUGGGUUUUUAUUUGGAUGGAUUUCCACCAGUGUGGCAGGCUUCAAGUCAUCGGAUCCAUAUGUCAUUUUUAUUUUGAAGAGGGCUUUUGAGGCAAGGUUCUUAUGUUGCCGGCUUGGCACUAGCUCUCCAGCUCUAUUUUCCAAAAAAGACAUGAUGAAGAAAUUUGGGUUUCCAAGCCCUUACCUUAGCACGCAAGCAGCAUAUUAACAUUUUUCUCCAAUCUACUACACCUUUGCUCUGCCAUCCUAAACUUGAGUAAAUUUCAUCCUUCUGUCUUCUUGUUUCUAUGUAAUUAUGGUUAAGCAAUCAAAGACAAUAUACUGCUUCGUUAUUGGUUUGUUCAAGUAAAUGAUGCUGAUAAACAAUGAUUAAUACUACAUUCUGAUUCUGUGUUGAGACUUGCUACCCUUCUCUUUAUUUGCAAUAUUCUGUUUGCUUGUUUGUUAGUUUUCUUUUAGUAUUGUCAUGACCUGGUCAUUGUUUAUAUGCAACUUUUUACAUUCACCAUAGGCUAACUUGUCUGAGAAGUUUGUAGCUUUGCCAUUCAGUCCUCGAUAUGCACACCCUACAAAGAUAAUUCAUGUCUCACUAAAUGGUAGUUCUAUUUGGUUCCUACCGUUUCAGAGACAAUUUGGCAAGUCAGAUGAUAUCCUUAGGCAACUUGACAGUGAUUAUGUUAAUGAAAUUAGAAUCUUGAUUAUCGUUAUUGCAUUAAUGUUAAUGUGGUGAAGGUGAUGGUAGCAUAUCUCAAAGAAACAACAGACAAUGAAAUUUGGACCGUAUACACCAAGGAAAAGAUAAGGGUAUCAUGUUCCAUGGUUCUAAUUUGAUGGGACUCAGAAAAGAGAAUUGCAUUUGUCUUUGAAAAAAUGCUGUUUAUUACCAGCUGGAAUGCAUGCAACAAUCAUUAGGUUCACAUACUUGACAUAGAAACCAGUACAGAAAGGAAACACUAAACUGACUCAAAGAAUCCUAUGAGUAGAGACCAGCUCAACCACAGGAAAGAAACUAGGAAGGAGAAACAACAGAUGAGUGAUGAUGGAAGAAAUGAGGCAGCGGUGGUCUCCAGUGACCUUAAUUAGUACCACCAAGAACAGCCUUAAGCUUCUUCACCACAGCUGCGUCAAGGAAAGUGGUCUGCACCACCAGUUCAGUUGGCAAAUCGUUUGCAAACAGAGCGUAAUCAAGGAUCUGGAGACCAGGCUGUGGGCUGCUGAAGCUAACAAAGGCGGUGGAUGGUAUCCCAGCCCCAUUCACUUGAAAAUGCAGUAGUCCUUGAGGAAAAAUCAUAAUGUCACCCUUCUUAAGAGUUUUGAAGUAGACGGUAUUGGCUGAGGAAAUGAACCCAGCACAGAUUGCCCCCUGCGUAACAAGCAGGACUUCUGAACCUCCAGGGUGUGUGUGCAUUGGCACAACCCCUCCUACAGCCAGGUCCAGGCGUGCUAUGGACAAGCCAAGACCGUUCAAGCCAGGAAACUGAGGAGCAAAAGCCGGAGUCACAGCAGCUUUGAUAAGAUUUGAGGUGUUCCCUGCCAUGCCUAGGCCGGAGAAAACAAAAUCAUCAACAGUAACCUUUGCAGGCUUCUUGCAAGAGUAGCCUGCAGGCCCCUCUGGGGCUGCAAGGUCCCCGACGCAGAAGUCCUGCACUGCAGCAUGAGAUGAUAAGAUAAGGGAAAAGAUGCAGAGAAUUGGGAGAAACAUCUUCACCAAAUAUAAAGAAGAAUGUUUUGCCUUAGCCCUUCUUUGCCAUCCUGAUCAGGCUUGGCACCCUUAUAUAUAGAAUCAGGAAUGCGGAAUAUUUUUUUCAGCAUCUUCAAUUGAUUGCUAGAGAUAUACCGGCAAAAAAGUUCACAUGCAGUGUACCCUAAAAUGAAAGCUUGAAAAAUGACAGAUUCUGAGCUGUGAUGCAUGUGAUUCUGCAAUCUUUUCUUUCAGAAAAAACCAAGAAACCUCUUUUUUGGCUCAUGAGUGACGGCAAGGAGUGAAAACAUCUUUGGCCUUUCCAAUUUCCAUCACGUCAAGCCAGUGAGGCAGUAAGAAAACUUCAAUAUUUCAACACACAGUCAAUCCGUAAGCUUGAAAUUUUCAGCAAACCCCUCAUUUACGAUCUUUCACCACCACCCAAAUCACAUCUUCUGAUAUCUGAUCUGGUCUUAUCCCAACAAUACAAACAAGAUAGGGAGAUGUGAGAAGGUGGUCCAUUAGUAUAACAAAACAUUUUUCUACAGCUAGAAGGCACUCCUGCAAGUCGUCCCACGACUCCCACCCCUUCAAACGGUAGCCAUUGCCCAAUGUGUGGUUCCUAGACAUUGCCCAUCUUGAAGGGCUUUUGUUGAUUGCCAGAGGAUAAGGGCAUCUUGUGGAUACCCCACUGCAAGAUGCUCAUAGAAUUGUCCGAAUUGUUCAAUCAUCUCACUUGCUUCUGCAUUUCAAAUUUCAACUUAUCCUUCCCGAGUAUUAGCCUAGCUUAUUCAAAUUACUCUUUUAGGCUUUAGUACCGGGGAAUAGGAAUGGAAAAGAG